GGCCCUUUAGCUCAGCGGUUAGAGCAUGCCUCAUAAUCGCCUGGUCGUUGGUUCAAACCCAACAGGGGCCACCA
RNAcentral lists this transfer RNA (74 nucleotides) under Klebsiella aerogenes. Its description in RNAcentral is "tRNA-Ile". It matches the Rfam family "tRNA". From Rfam's summary of the family: Transfer RNA (tRNA) molecules are approximately 80 nucleotides in length. Their secondary structure includes four short double-helical elements and three loops (D, anti-codon, and T loops). Further hydrogen bonds mediate the characteristic L-shaped molecular structure. tRNAs have two regions of fundamental functional importance: the anti-codon, which is responsible for specific mRNA codon recognition, and the 3' end, to which the tRNAs corresponding amino acid is attached (by aminoacyl-tRNA synthetases). tRNAs cope with the degeneracy of the genetic code in two manners: having more than one tRNA (with a specific anti-codon) for a particular amino acid; and 'wobble' base-pairing, i.e. permitting non-standard base-pairing at the 3rd anti-codon position. Lineage: Bacteria; Pseudomonadati; Pseudomonadota; Gammaproteobacteria; Enterobacterales; Enterobacteriaceae. The record is from RNAcentral.